This 101-nucleotide transfer RNA is filed under the name Puccinia graminis f. sp. tritici. It matches the Rfam family "tRNA". From Rfam's summary of the family: Transfer RNA (tRNA) molecules are approximately 80 nucleotides in length. Their secondary structure includes four short double-helical elements and three loops (D, anti-codon, and T loops). The record is from Rfam by way of RNAcentral. Lineage: Eukaryota; Fungi; Basidiomycota; Pucciniomycetes; Pucciniales; Pucciniaceae.
GCUCCCCUGGCGUAAUGGUAACGCGUUGGACUUCUACUUCCGCGAGGCCUCGGUCAAUUGUUGGGAUCCAAAGACUGCGGGUUCGAGCCCCGCGGGGAGUG